GCUGGGCAUGGUUUCACAUGCCUGUAAUCCCAGUGACUUGAGAGUCUGAGGCAGGAGGAUCACAAGUUUGAGGCCAACUUCAGCAAUUUAGUGAGACCCUGUCUCAA
RNAcentral lists this small RNA (107 nucleotides) under Marmota monax (woodchuck). The record is from RNAcentral. Lineage: Eukaryota; Metazoa; Chordata; Mammalia; Rodentia; Sciuridae.